GUGCCAGCCGCCGCGGUAAGACGAACCGUGCAAACGUUAUUCGGAAUCACUGGGCAUAAAGGGCGCGUAGGCGGCUCCAAAAGUCAGGGGUGAAAUCCGGCAGCUUAACUGUCGCAGUGCCUUUGAUACUGUGGAGCUAGAGGGAGGUAGGGGUCUGUGGAACUUCCGGUGGAGCGGUGAAAUGCGUUGAUAUCGGAAGGAACGCCGGUGGCGAAAGCGACGGACUGGAUCUCUUCUGACGCUGAGGCGCGAAAGCCAGGGGAGCAAACGGGAUUAGAUACCCCGGUAGUCCUGGCCCUAAACGAUGGGUACUAGAUUGCGGACUUACAUGGGUUCGCAGUCGAAGCUAAUGUUUUAAGUACCCCGCCUGGGGAGUAUGGUCGCAAGGCUGAA
RNAcentral lists this ribosomal RNA (393 nucleotides) under uncultured bacterium. RNAcentral's name for it is "bacterial SSU rRNA". It matches the Rfam family "Bacterial small subunit ribosomal RNA", at positions 505 to 898 of the family's 1533-position model. The record is from RNAcentral.